GCGCCUGUGGCGCAAUUGGAUAGCGCAUCGGUCUUCGGAACCGAGGGUUGGGGGUUCGAAUCCCUUCAGGCGUG
RNAcentral lists this transfer RNA (74 nucleotides) under Thermoguttaceae bacterium. RNAcentral's name for it is "tRNA-Arg". It matches the Rfam family "tRNA". From Rfam's summary of the family: Transfer RNA (tRNA) molecules are approximately 80 nucleotides in length. Their secondary structure includes four short double-helical elements and three loops (D, anti-codon, and T loops). The record is from RNAcentral. Lineage: Bacteria; Pseudomonadati; Planctomycetota; Planctomycetia; Pirellulales; Thermoguttaceae.